AAAUUUUCUUAGGAACCAAACAAGCUCCACCUUCUAAAUUCUUAUUCUGACUAUAGUGAUCAGUCGGGAACAGAUUUGCCUUCCCCAAAACUUCAGCCAUAGCUAGUUUUUCUUUCUUUUUCUCACAACAAAAAUCAAUAACCCAGAUUGAAAAUUGAAUCCUUUGCUUUAAUCUCAACGAUAAUUAAAAUAUAAUAAAGAGAGAAGAACGUUUCGUU
Hibiscus syriacus is the source of this 218-nucleotide long non-coding RNA. RefSeq lists it as uncharacterized. The transcript is spliced from 3 exons. The record is from RefSeq and is a predicted model, not a curated record. Lineage: Eukaryota; Viridiplantae; Streptophyta; Magnoliopsida; Malvales; Malvaceae.